GACGAACGCUGGCGGCGUGCUUAACACAUGCAAGUCGAACGGAAAGGCCCUGCUUUUGUGGGGUGCUCGAGUGGCGAACGGGUGUGUAACACGUGAGUAACCUGCCCUUGACUUUGGGAUAACUUCAGGAAACUGGGGCUAAUACCGGAUAGGAGCUCCUGCUGCAUGGUGGGGGUUGGAAAGUUUCGGCGGUUGUGGAUGGUCUGGGGGCUUAUCAGCUCGUUGGUGGGGUAGUGGCUUACCAAGGCGUUGACGGGUAGCCGGCCUGAGAGGGUGACCGGCCACAGUGGGACUGAGAUACGGCCCAGACUCCUACGGGGGGCAGCAGUGGGGAGUAGUGCACGAUGGGCGGAAGCCUGAUGCAGCAACGCCGCGGGCGGGAUGACGGCCUUCGGGUUGUAAACCGCUUUCGCCUGGGACGAAGCGUGAGUGACGUUAAGGGGUAAAGAAGCACCGGCUAACUACGUG
Molecule: ribosomal RNA, 468 nt
Filed under: uncultured bacterium
Lineage: Bacteria
Description: partial 16S ribosomal RNA
Rfam family: Bacterial small subunit ribosomal RNA
Source: RNAcentral